AAAAAGGUAAGCUAAACAAGCUUUUGGGUUCAUACCCCAACGAUAGUGAUUCACUCCUUUUUA
RNAcentral lists this transfer RNA (63 nucleotides) under Tetraclitella divisa. Its description in RNAcentral is "tRNA-Met". Lineage: Eukaryota; Metazoa; Arthropoda; Thecostraca; Balanomorpha; Tetraclitidae. The record is from RNAcentral.